This 253-nucleotide ribosomal RNA is filed under the name uncultured bacterium. RNAcentral describes it as "partial 16S ribosomal RNA". It matches the Rfam family "Bacterial small subunit ribosomal RNA", at positions 524 to 776 of the family's 1533-position model. The record is from RNAcentral.
UACGUAGGGGGCAAGCGUUGUCCGGAAUCAUUGGGCGUAAAGGGCGCGUAGGUGGCCCGGUCAGUUCGUGGUGAAAGCGCGGGGCUCAACUCCGCGUCGGCCAUGAAUACUGCUGGGCUGGAGCACUGUAGAGGCAGGCGGAAUUCCGGGUGUAGCGGUGGAAUGCGUAGAGAUCCGGAAGAACACCGGUGGCGAAGGCGGCCUGCUGGGCAGUUGCUGACACUGAGGCGCGACAGCGUGGGGAGCAAACAGG